CUCAUAAUAAUAUUGUAUAGUACCAUAAUUUAUUUCAUUGCCAACAUUGUAGAAUACAAAGCCAUAAUUGCAAGGUCCAUAAAAUUAUAAAACGAAAUAUUAAAGAAAUACAUUUAUUGGGUGCAAACCAAAUUUAUUUUAGAUUGCAUAGAUUUAUUUUAUUAGUAUAUCAACUUAUUUUUCCCUGAAUCACAUUUGAUUACAAUCAUCAUCAAUUUGGUACUAAUUUUCUAGUGUCCCACCUUUAAUAAGAUAACAUCUUUUCUUGUAACACAGAUACUUAUCAGGAAUAUCGGGUGUAUCAGUUUUUGGACAAUCAUCAUCAGUUUCACAUCUCUGGAAACUUGCUGUAAAGAAAUAUGAUAAUAAAAUAAUAUUACUGAAAUUGAUACAAUAUUGUGGAUGAAAUACAAAGUAAAGAAAGAAACAUUAAAAUGAUGAAAAAUGACUUACCAUCAACGGUGUUUGUACCAAGUAAUAGGGAAAUAAAUAAAAGCACAACAUAAACAAAGUUGAUAAUUUUAACCAUAUUUUUAUCUCUUUGAAUGUAACAAAGAAUAUGUUUUUAUCACUUUAUAGUGUAUAAUGCUUAUGUUAUACUAAAGAAACUAAAUAUUUAUAAUGGUUCUGAUAUUGUAAAAAUACUUUUAUAAUUGCAGACAUUAUUAAAUGCCUCUUAAGUAGAUUAAU
Molecule: long non-coding RNA, 690 nt
Filed under: Trifolium pratense (red clover)
Lineage: Eukaryota; Viridiplantae; Streptophyta; Magnoliopsida; Fabales; Fabaceae
Description: long non-coding RNA (TPRA_LNC003802)
Source: RNAcentral